RNAcentral lists this ribosomal RNA (323 nucleotides) under uncultured eukaryote. Its description in RNAcentral is "partial 18S ribosomal RNA". It matches the Rfam family "Eukaryotic small subunit ribosomal RNA", at positions 1470 to 1796 of the family's 1831-position model. The record is from RNAcentral.
CCCUUAGAUGUUCUGGGCCGCACGCGUGCUACACUGAGUGGAUCAGCGGGUCAGGUUGCGCGAAAGCGUUUCCUAAUCUUUAAAUCCGCUCGUGAUGGGGAUUGACGGUUGCAAUUUUCUGUCAUGAACGAGGAAUACCUUGUAAGCGCGGGUCAUCAUCCCGCGCUGAAUACGUCCCUGCCCUUUGUACACACCGCCCGUCGCUCCUACCGAUUGAGUGGUCCGGUGAAGCGCUCGGACCGCGGCCUCUUGACGGUUCGCUGUCGAUUGGCUGUGGGAAGUUCGUUAAACCUUAUCAUUUAGAGGAAGGAGAAGUCGUAACA